Molecule: ribosomal RNA, 444 nt
Filed under: uncultured bacterium
Lineage: Bacteria
Description: bacterial SSU rRNA
Rfam family: Bacterial small subunit ribosomal RNA
Source: RNAcentral
UCGGGAAUUUUGGGCAAUGGGCGAAAGCCUGACCCAGCAACGCCGCGUGAAGGAUGAAGUAUUUCGGUAUGUAAACUUCGAAAGAAUAGGAAGAAUAAAUGACGGUACUAUUUAUAAGGUCCGGCUAACUACGUGCCAGCAGCCGCGGUAAUACGUAGGGACCAAGCGUUGUUCGGAUUUACUGGGCGUAAAGGGCGCGUAGGCGGCAAUUCAAGUCAUCUGUGAAAUCUCCGGGCUUAACUCGGAACGGUCAGAUGAUACUGCUUUGCUAGAGUGCAGAAGGGGCAAUCGGAAUUCUUGGUGUAGCGGUGAAAUGCGUAGAUAUCAAGAGGAACACCUGAGGUGAAGACGGGUUGCUGGGCUGACACUGACGCUGAGGCACGAAAGCCAGGGGAGCAAACGGGAUUAGAUACCCGAGUAGUCCCUGAGCGGGCUGGCAAGGCG